ACCAUGCAGUCGAACGGUGAAGCAGAGCUUGCUCUGUGGAUCAGUGGCGAACGGGUGAGUAACACGUGAGCAACCUGCCCCUGACUCUGGGAUAAGCGCUGGAAACGGCGUCUAAUACUGGAUAUGAGCUGCGACCGCAUGGUCAGCAGUUGGAAAGAUUUUUCGGUCUGGGAUGGGCUCACGGCCUAUCAGCUUGUUGGUGAGGUAAUGGCUCACCAAGGCGUCGACGGGUAGCCGGCCUGAGAGGGUGACCGGCCACACUGGGACUGAGACACGGCCCAGACUCCUACGGGAGGCAGCAGUGGGGAAUAUUGCACAAUGGGCGCAAGCCUGAUGCAGCAACGCCGCGUGAGGGAUGACGGCCUUCGGGUUGUAAACCUCUUUUAGCAGGGAAGAAGCGAAAGUGACGGUACCUGCAGAAAAAGCGCCGGCUAACUACGUGCCAGCAGCCGCGGUAAUACGUAGGGCGCAAGCGUUAUCCGGAAUUAUUGGGCGUAAAGAGCUCGUAGGCGGUUUGUCGCGUCUGCUGUGAAAUCCCGAGGCUCAACCUCGGGUCUGCAGUGGGUACGGGCAGACUAGAGUGCGGUAGGGGAGAUUGGAAUUCCUGGUGUAGCGGU
RNAcentral lists this ribosomal RNA (617 nucleotides) under Microbacterium oleivorans. Its description in RNAcentral is "bacterial SSU rRNA". It matches the Rfam family "Bacterial small subunit ribosomal RNA", at positions 53 to 682 of the family's 1533-position model. The record is from RNAcentral. Lineage: Bacteria; Bacillati; Actinomycetota; Actinomycetes; Micrococcales; Microbacteriaceae.